UAAGCAGAGGAACCCCAUCAAACUUGGAUUUUGUAAGUAGUUGCGAAUGAACACAAACUUGAUCACUUUGGCAAUCUUUGCACAUCAUUGUGCAACAAUUUGUAUAUGUAGGCACAGUGCUAUCAAAGCUGCAUGCAAGUGAUUUUUGAAAGGAUACAACAUGGGAUGUGAUAUUCAUGUGUGUGUGCCUGCUUUGUCCACAGCCUGUGCUGUAUGAAUCACAUUUCUUGCAACUGAAAUGCUAAUUGCAUGGUAAAGUUCAUGUGACAUGACACAAGCUUGAGAUUCAUGAUGUGCAAGUACCAUGAGGGAAAUGUGAAAAGGACUUUGAAAAGAGAAUUAAAGAAAGCCUGCAUUUGCUGACAAUAAAAGCAAGUGUGGAUGUUUAUGUAAUUGUUACUGCAUCAAUCAAUGCUCAUCAUGAUUACUGCAUGCUUUAUAUUACAGCUCAGAACACGAAGUGUGUGUAACAGCUCUGCUUUGAUUUUUCCCACGUGGGAUCAGUUGAAACUUUGUGAGAGCACUCUUCAGUUCCCUCACGUACCCACCAGCUUUGUCCACUCGUGUGUUGGCACACAUGUAAUGAUGAUGUGUUUAUGCAAGAUACUUCUGUGCUCACCAACAUGUGGCGUUACUGGCUA
This 641-nucleotide ribosomal RNA is filed under the name Ostreopsis sp. 1 CB-2013. Its description in RNAcentral is "eukaryotic LSU rRNA". It matches the Rfam family "Eukaryotic large subunit ribosomal RNA", at positions 47 to 614 of the family's 3401-position model. The record is from RNAcentral. Lineage: Eukaryota; Dinophyceae; Peridiniales; Ostreopsidaceae.